UUNUUAGAGGGACUAUCGGUGUUUAACCGAUGGAAGUUUGAGGCAAURACAGGUCUGUGAUGCCCUUAGAUGUUCUGGGGCCGCACGCGCGGCUACACUGAUGAAGUCAACGAGUUAAUNUCCUUCAUCGGAAGAUGUGGGUAAUCUUUUGAARCUUCACCGUGCUGGGGAUAGAGCANUGCAAUUAUUGCUCUUGAACGAGGAAUCCCUAGUAAGCACAAGUCAUUAGCYUGUGCUGAUUACGUCCCUGCCCUUUGUACACACCGCCCGUCGCUACURCCGAUUGAAUGGCUUANUGAGGC
Molecule: ribosomal RNA, 302 nt
Filed under: uncultured Glomeromycotina
Lineage: Eukaryota; Fungi; Glomeromycota
Description: partial 18S ribosomal RNA
Rfam family: Eukaryotic small subunit ribosomal RNA
Source: RNAcentral